CACGUAGUUAGCCGUGGCUUUCUGGUUAGAUACCGUCAAGGGAUGAACUUUUUACUCUCAUCCUUAUUCUUCUCUAACAACAGAGUUUUACGAUCCGAAAACCUUCUUCACUCACGCGGCGUUGCUCGGUCAGACUUUCGUCCAUUGCCGAAGAUUCCCUACUGCUGCCUCCCGUAGGAGUCUGGGCCGUGUCUCAGUCCCAGUGUGGCCGAUCACCCUCUCAGGUCGGCUAUGCAUCGUGGCCUUGGUGAGCCGUUACCUCACCAACUAGCUAAUGCAGCGCGGGUCCAUCCAUCAGUGACGCAAAAGCGCCUUUCACUUUCUCUCCAGGCGGAGAAAAAGAUUAUGCGGUAUUAGCACCUGUUUCCAAGUGUUAUCCCCGCUGAUGGGUAGGUUACCCACGUGUUACUCACCCGUUCGCCACUCUUCUUUUUCGGUGAACCGAGUUCGAUUGAAAAAGAGCGUUCGACUUGCAUGUAUUAGGCACGCCGCAGCGUUCGUCCUGAGC
RNAcentral lists this ribosomal RNA (508 nucleotides) under uncultured Enterococcus sp. RNAcentral describes it as "partial 16S ribosomal RNA". Lineage: Bacteria; Bacillati; Bacillota; Bacilli; Lactobacillales; Enterococcaceae. The record is from RNAcentral.